UCCUAUCGGUAGUCAGGUAAAGUCCUAAUA
This 30-nucleotide non-coding RNA is filed under the name Mus musculus (house mouse). Lineage: Eukaryota; Metazoa; Chordata; Mammalia; Rodentia; Muridae. The record is from RNAcentral.